CAGUAGCCACGGUAAUACGAGGGGAGCUAGCGUUGUUCGGAAUUACUGGGCGUAAAGCGCGCGUAGGCGGCUUUUUAAGUCAGAGGUGAAAGCCCGGGGCUCAACCCCGGAAUUGCCUUUGAAACUGGAAAGCUAGAAUCUUGGAGAGGUCAGUGGAAUUCCGAGUGUAGAGGUGAAAUUCGUAGAUAUUCGGAAGAACACCAGUGGCGAAGGCGACUGACUGGACAAGUAUUGACGCUGAGGUGCGAAAGCGUGGGGAGCAAACAGGAUUAGAGACCCCCGUAGUCCCUGUCUCUUAUAC
This 301-nucleotide ribosomal RNA is filed under the name uncultured bacterium. RNAcentral's name for it is "partial 16S ribosomal RNA". It matches the Rfam family "Bacterial small subunit ribosomal RNA", at positions 509 to 807 of the family's 1533-position model. The record is from RNAcentral.